This 319-nucleotide ribosomal RNA is filed under the name uncultured eukaryote. RNAcentral's name for it is "partial 18S ribosomal RNA". It matches the Rfam family "Eukaryotic small subunit ribosomal RNA", at positions 1470 to 1796 of the family's 1831-position model. The record is from RNAcentral.
CCCUUAGAUGUUCUGGGCAGCACGCGCGCUACAAUGGUCUUCGCAAACGGAUGCAUUCUCGAAGGAGAAUGCCAAUCUUGGAAUCUAUGCCUUGGUCGGGACAGUUGCUUGCAAUUUUUCGACUCGAACCAGGAAUUCCUUGUAAUCGUGAUUCAUCACAUCACGAUGAAUACGUGCCUGCCCUUUGUACACACCGCCCGUCGCUCCUACCGAUCGAAGAGUUAGGUGAAUUGUUUUGAUCGAUAAGAUUUGACUAUGGUCAACUCUCGUUGUGAAAUUCUGUGAAUCUGACUGUUUAGAGGAAGGAAAAGUCGUAACA